This 560-nucleotide long non-coding RNA is filed under the name Felis catus (domestic cat). Its description in RNAcentral is "lncRNA (ENSFCAG00000051407.1)". Lineage: Eukaryota; Metazoa; Chordata; Mammalia; Carnivora; Felidae. The record is from RNAcentral.
CAAAACCCUUUUUCCUUGCCUCUUGAAGGAUACUUUUAUGUUUGACAGGGAGUCAAGAUCCUGUCAAUACCAGAAGUAAAGGCAUUCUGGCAUAUUUACACUCAAGAUAUUGCAUGGAUUGGAAACAAGAAGGCAUGCAUAUAGGCAACAAACUUUCAUAGUUGCAUCUUUCCUGUUGAUGUUUACAUUCAGGAUUUCAUUAUUUUAUCAGAUCCUAAAUCUUCUGAAUCAACAUAUAUUAAGGUAUAGUUUCACAAUUUAUUAAUCAAAUAAUUCGUAUAGUUUUUAUGUACCAUAAAUCUAAGAGGCCUACUGUUUUUAAUGUUUUUAUUUAUUUUUGAGGGAGAUUGAGAGCAUGAGUGGGGGAGGUGCAGAGAGAGAGAGAGAGAGAGAGAGAGAGAGGAUCUGAAGCAGGCUUUGUGCUGACAGCAGACAGCCCAAUGUGGGGCUUGAACUCACAAAUGGUAAGAUCAUGACCUGAGCCAAAUUCGACACUUAACCAACUGAGCCAACCAGGCUCCUCCAAGAGGCCCAAUUCAAUAAAUACCCUUGUACCCACA